AUACGGAGGAGGCUAGCGUUGUUCGGAAUUACUGGGCGUAAAGCGUACGUAGGCGGACUGAUCAGUUGGGGGUGAAAUCCCAGGGCUUAACCCUGGAACUGCCUUCAAUACUGUCAGUCUUGAGAUUGGAAGAGGUGAGUGGAAUUCCUAGUGUAGAGGUGAAAUUCAUAGAUAUUAGGAGGAACACCAGUGGCGAAGGCGGCUCACUGGUCCAAUACUGACGCUGAGGUACGAAAGCGUGGGGAGCAAACAGGAUUAGAUACCCUAGUAGUCC
This 274-nucleotide ribosomal RNA is filed under the name uncultured bacterium. RNAcentral describes it as "partial 16S ribosomal RNA". It matches the Rfam family "Bacterial small subunit ribosomal RNA", at positions 523 to 796 of the family's 1533-position model. The record is from RNAcentral.